Molecule: non-coding RNA, 58 nt
Filed under: Strongylocentrotus purpuratus (purple sea urchin)
Lineage: Eukaryota; Metazoa; Echinodermata; Echinoidea; Camarodonta; Strongylocentrotidae
Description: Guanidine-II sequence
Rfam family: Guanidine-II riboswitch aptamer (mini-ykkC)
About the family: Simpler in structure and has fewer highly conserved nucleotide positions than the ykkC-yxkD leader. Despite this each of its two stem-loop structures directly bind free guanidine.
Source: RNAcentral
GAGGGGGGACGACCCCCCCCCCUCCCCCUAAAAAAAAAUGAGGGGGGACGUGUCCCCC